CUGGUUUGCCUAGUGGUGCUUCGGCGACCGGACGGGGCCGUGGGGGAGGAGCUGCAAGGACAACAGCAUCGGAUGUCCCGGGCCGCCCGUUGGCUGUCCAACUUAGGCCAGUUCAACAAGUACAUAGAGAAGCUCUUCAAUAGCAGCAUGAAGUCCAAGAACACCAAGAACUCUAGUGACGCGAACAACCCCAGGAAUAGUACGAAACCCCUAUCAGCGAACGCGACGAAACCUCUGCCAGCGAACGCGACGAAACUCCGCGGACGGAAAACCACGAACCCCUAGCCGCGGAACACCGCGAAACCCCAACCACCAGCCUCCUCCCAGGGCCCCAGGUAGGAGAGCCUGGGCCCGGCUGGCCCCAGUCGGGGUCCUCGGAAGUGGGGGCAGGUUGGGCGGGAGCGAAAGGAGGGCUGGGGGGACCCAGGGGAUUCCCGGGGACUUCCUUCUCCAGGCUGGGCUUUGACUUCCGAAGUUUAACUCAAGUCUCCCCGCCCAUCGAUCCUCUUUAUACUAUGAGAGGGGCCCUAACUCCUGCCCAGCCCGCCCUCAGUGAGAACAAUAAAGAGAAACGGAAUCUC
Capra hircus (goat) is the source of this 581-nucleotide long non-coding RNA. RefSeq lists it as uncharacterized. The record is from RefSeq and is a predicted model, not a curated record. Lineage: Eukaryota; Metazoa; Chordata; Mammalia; Artiodactyla; Bovidae. The transcript is spliced from 2 exons.